GACAGAGGCGCCAAGCGUUAGGCGGAAUCACUGGGCUUAAAGCGUGUGUAGGCGGAUUUGUAAGUACCUUGUGAAAUCCCAUGGCUCAACCAUGGAACUGCUCGGUAUACUGCGAAUCUUGAGCCACUUAGGGGCUACCGGAACAAAUGGUGGAGCGGUGAAAUGCGUAGAUAUCAUUUGGAACGCCAAUGGUGAAAACAGGUAGCUGGGAGUGUGCUGACACUGAGACACGAAAGCCAGGGGAGCGAACGGG
RNAcentral lists this ribosomal RNA (253 nucleotides) under uncultured bacterium. RNAcentral's name for it is "partial 16S ribosomal RNA". It matches the Rfam family "Bacterial small subunit ribosomal RNA", at positions 524 to 776 of the family's 1533-position model. The record is from RNAcentral.